AAAAAAAAAAAAAAAAGGGAAAUCACAGCUGAAAGUCUGAAGCUAUGUGUAGUGGGAAGUGGGGUCAAGCCCAAUCAGUACUCGGUACAUAAUCUUUUGGGUGUGGUUGUACAUAAGAGUGGAGUCUGAGGUCUGGUGCGGCGUGGUAUUGGGUUGCUCAUAAUGGUGCCGUCCAUGGCCAGCCAUCAGUUAGCAAAGAUUUUAUUCCUGCUUUUGCAAUCAUGAUCUGCUCAAGCCUGCCUCUGAAUGAUGCUAAUUGCAAUCUGAUCGAGGCUUUAAUUCUACUGAUAUUUUGUUUCCAUUCCCAACCCCUUUCUUCCCUCUUUUUAAAAUACAACAUGAAAUAGCAAAUAUUGAAAUCAUAUCUUGGUUGGAUUGGAUCAAGUCUAGGAAAAAAGCUCAUGCUCAAACUUACAAGCCAACGGAUUUUCAGGCAAGUGAAUUGAUUUACUGUAAAUAUAUGUAAAUGUAAUUAACAUUGUUGAAUAUUUUUUAAUUAUUUAUAUAAAUCAUCAAUAUAUGUGACAGAUAAGAUGUAAUAUAUUAUAAAACUUUUUUA
RNAcentral lists this unclassified non-coding RNA (559 nucleotides) under Hevea brasiliensis (rubber tree). Lineage: Eukaryota; Viridiplantae; Streptophyta; Magnoliopsida; Malpighiales; Euphorbiaceae. The record is from RNAcentral.